GACGAACGCUGGCGGCGUGCUUAACACAUGCAAGUCGAACGGAAAGGCCCUGCUUUUGUGGGGUGCUCGAGUGGCGAACGGGUGAGUAACACGUGAGUAACCUGCCCUUGACUUUGGGAUAACUUCAGGAAACUGGGGCUAAUACCAGAUAGGAGCUCCUGCUGCAUGGUGGGGGUUGGAACGUUUCGGCGGUUGGGGAUGGACUCGCGGCUUAUCAGCUUGUUGGUGGGGUAGUGGCUUACCAAGGCUUUGACGGGUAGCCGGCCUGAGAGGGUGACCGGCCACAUGGGGACUGAGAGACGGCGCAGACUCCAACGGGAGGCAGCAGUGGGGAAUAUGGCACAAUGGGCGGAAGCCUGAGGCAGCAACGCCGCGUGCGGGAUGACGGCCUGCGGGUUGUAAACCGCUUUCGCCUGUGACGAAGCGUGAGUGACGGUAAUGGGUAAAGAAGCACCGGCUAACUACGUG
This 468-nucleotide ribosomal RNA is filed under the name uncultured bacterium. RNAcentral's name for it is "partial 16S ribosomal RNA". It matches the Rfam family "Bacterial small subunit ribosomal RNA", at positions 28 to 507 of the family's 1533-position model. The record is from RNAcentral.